GAAAAUUUAGUUAACAAUAAUAUUAGCUUGUCAUGCUAAAGUUACCAUAAGGUAAUUUUCU
Molecule: transfer RNA, 61 nt
Filed under: Calantica studeri
Lineage: Eukaryota; Metazoa; Arthropoda; Thecostraca; Calanticomorpha; Calanticidae
Description: tRNA-Asp
Source: RNAcentral